AGAUUAAUACCCCGUAAUAAUUGAACGCAUCGUUUGAUUUUGAAAGCUCCGGCGGUUUGAGAUGAGUAUGCGUCUGAUUAGCUAGUUGGUGAGGUAACGGCUCACCAAGGCGACGAUCAGUAGGGGACCCUGAGAGGACUAACCCCCACACUGGUACUGAGACACGGACCAGACUCCUACGGGAGGCAGCAGUAAGGAAUAUUGGUCAAUGGAGGCAACUCUGAACCAGCCAUGCCGCGUGCAGGGAUGACGGCCCUAUGGGUUGUAAACUGCUUUUAUACAAGAGAAAACCCUGGUACGUGUACCAAGUUGAUAGUAUUGUAAGAAUAAGCAUCGGCUAACUUCGUG
This 348-nucleotide ribosomal RNA is filed under the name uncultured bacterium. Its description in RNAcentral is "bacterial SSU rRNA". It matches the Rfam family "Bacterial small subunit ribosomal RNA", at positions 160 to 507 of the family's 1533-position model. The record is from RNAcentral.